GAUGAACGCUGGCGGCGUGCCUAAUACAUGCAAGUCGAGCGAACAGACGAGGAGCUUGCUCCUCUGACGUUAGCGGCGGACGGGUGAGUAACACGUGGAUAACCUACCUAUAAGACUGGGAUAACUUCGGGAAACCGGAGCUAAUACCGGAUAAUAUAUUGAACCGCAUGGUUCAAUAGUGAAAGACGCUUUUGCUGUCACUUAUAGAUGGAUCCGCGCCGCAUUAGCUAGUUGGUAAGGUAACGGCUUACCAAGGCAACGAUGCGUAGCCGACCUGAGAGGGUGAUAGGCCACACUGGAACUGAGAAACGGUCCAGACUCCAACGGGAGGCAGCAGUAGGGAAUCUUCCGCAAUGGGCGAAAGCUUGACGGAGCAACGCCGAGUGAGUGAUGAAGGUCUUCGGAUCGUAAAACUCUGUUAUUAGGGAAGAACAAAUGUGUAAGUACCUAUGCACGUCUUGACGGUACCUAAUCAGAAAGCCACGGCUGACUACGUG
RNAcentral lists this ribosomal RNA (497 nucleotides) under uncultured bacterium. Its description in RNAcentral is "partial 16S ribosomal RNA". It matches the Rfam family "Bacterial small subunit ribosomal RNA", at positions 28 to 507 of the family's 1533-position model. The record is from RNAcentral.